AUUAAACAAGUGAUUAGCACUCUCUAAUGUAUGAUUUCUUGAUGUUUUCUCUCGAAGUUUAGAUUCCAAGCUUUAAUUUGAACAAGAACGGGCUGGAUUUUCAUUGUCCCUUCUGAACAGUUUCGGCCUCGUCUCGUUGAUCGGCUUCAUCUCUGUAUCUUUUCCGGCAGCAUUGCGAUUUGCAACUCAAUUUUCAGGAUUAAGAACUUGAGGACUGAUUGUCAACGGUUGGUCUUGACUUUCGAUCGAUUCUUGGUCUAAACAAUGGCCUUAACCAUCUCCGAAUCUUCCGUCAAGUCUAAACAAUGCCUCCGCAGCGUUUCUUUAAUGUAUUUCUCCAUGUGCCGGUUCCUGCUCUCCCUAAUUCUCUCUCUCUGCUUCGUCAAGCUUCUUGCUGAAUUUGUGAAUGCAGGUGCUAAAGGCUCUUUGAUUUGGCCCAUCAUGCUGAUUUCUAUAUACAAUAAGAGCUCAACUCCCACAUAUGAUUUGCAGCUGCUUUCGUUCUAAUAAGCACUAAUGAUUAUGGAACAGUUGAGAUGCUGCCUCCUUCAGAUCUCUGUUGCUUUAGCUGUUUCAUUUCUGGUUACUGCACAGGAUCAGUCAGGAUUCAUUAGCAUUGACUGUGGAAAUUCAAAGGAUUCAAGCUACACAGACAGUGUAACAGGCAUCAAGUAUAUUUCUGAUGCAAACUUCACAGAAACUGGAGUAAGUAGGAGCAUAUCAUCAGAUUUCAACUCGUCCACUCUUCCACAGCAAUUCUGGUAUGUUAGAAGCUUUCCUGAAGGGGAGAGGAACUGCUACACCAUAAAGCUUGCUCAAGGUAAAGGUUUCAAGUAUUUGAUCAGAGCGAGUUUCAUGUACGGAAACUAUGAUGGCAAAGGUAAUGCGCCGGUUUUUGAUCUGUACAUGGGAAUUAAUAAAUGGGAUUCAGUAGUAUUGAGCAAUGAAUCCAGUAUCACAAACAAAGAAGUUGUACAUGCACUUCCUACAUCUUCCGUAAGCAUAUGCCUGGUGAAUACUGGCUUUGGAUCACCUUUUAUAUCAGCAUUGGAGUUUAGACUUUUGAAAAAUUCUAGCUAUGUUACCGAUUUCGAAUUGUUAGCUCUCCAUAGACGGUUGGAUGUAGGAUCGAUUACCAACGAAACUGUUCGGUACCAAGACGAUUUUUGUGAUCGGAUUUGGAGGCCCUAUAACUUUCCUAGUUACAAAAUUAUAAGCACAUCAUCCACAGUUGAUUCAGAAAUCAGCAACAGUUAUAAUUUACCAAGAAUUGUAAUGAGCACUGCUAUCACAACCGAUAAUGCCAGUGCUCCUCUAGAAUUUCACUGGGUUCCUGGAGAUCCCAAUGCCAAAUUUCACUUAUUCUUGCACUUUGCUGAUUUGGAAAAGCUCCAAGCCAACCAAUCGAGGGAAUUUAACAUCUUUCAAAAUGAAAAUCAUCUUCAUGGACCUUUUUCUCCUGAUUACUUGCAGUCAACUACAUUGUUUACCACAAACCCAAUGAGUGGAGAAUCUAUUGAUUUUAAAUUUGUAAGAACAAAUACAUCAAAUCUUCCACCCAUCCUCAAUGCUCUUGAAAUCUACACGGUGCUAGAUACAUCACAAUCGCACACUGAUGAGCAAGACGUUAAAGCUCUGACGAGCGUGAAAUCAUUUUAUGGAGUGAGAAAGAAUUGGCAGGGUGAUCCAUGCCUGCCAGAAUCCUUCGUGUGGCACGGUCUUAGUUGUAGCUAUGAUGAGACUCCUAAUAGAAUCACCUCCUUGAACUUAUCUUCAAGUGGGUUGGUGGGGGAAAUAGUUACUUCUAUAUCCGAGCUCAGGUCAUUACAAUAUUUGGAUUUAUCAAACAAUAACUUGAGUGGACCAGUGCCUAGUAUGCUAUCCGAGUUGCACUCCUUGAAAGUUUUAGACUUGAGGAACAACCCACUUCUUGGUUCUAUACCAAGCGAACUCAUGGAGAAAUCGAAGAAUGGAUCGCUUACAUUAAGGGUUGGAGGAAAUGCCGAUGUUUGUGCUUCAUCUUCUUGCCAAAAGAAGAAACAGAGUUACGUUGUUCCAAUUGUAGCAACAGUUUCAUUGUUGCUGGUCCUCUUAGCUGCAAUAGUCGUCUGGAUUAUAAUAUGGAAAAAACGAGCCCGAAAACAGCCCAUCAUAAGACUUGGAUCGCUAGAGCCAAAAAAACAGCGGCUAUCUUACUCGCAAAUACAACGUAUGACAAACAACUUUGAGACGAAAAUCGGGGAAGGAGGAUUUGCAAAAGUAUUCCUUGGUUACUUGGACAAUACUCAAGUUGCCGUGAAGGUCCUUAAGUCUUCUGUUCAAGGUUAUAAAGAGUUUGAAACAGAGGUCAAACUUUUGCUGAGAAUUCAUCAUACAAACUUGGCAAGCCUUGUUGGAUUCUGCUAUGAAAAGACCAAUCUGGUUCUUAUCUAUGAGUACAUAAAUAAUGGCAACUUAAAAGAGCAUCUAUUAGGUGGAAAUGUUAGAGUUCUCAGUUGGGAGGAAAGGAUGCAAAUAGCGGUCGAUGCAGCACAAGGAUUGGAGUAUCUGCAUCAUGGUUGUAAGCCACCAAUUGUUCACAGAGAUGUGAAGUCUGCAAACAUCCUUUUGAAUAAAAAAUUCCAAGCCAAAAUUGCUGAUUUUGGUCUAUCCAGGAGUUUCCCGACCGAAAGUCGUACUCAUUUGACCACAGUUGUUGCAGGCACCGACGGUUAUCUCGAUCCAGAGUAUUAUGCAACUGGCUGGCUGACCGAAAAAAGCGACGUUUACAGUUUUGGAGUUCUUAUAUUGGAAAUAAUCACUUCCCUUCCAGUCCUUCAAAUUGAUAGAGCUUCUUCAAAGAGAUAUCAUGUAAGCCAAUGGGUUAUGAACUUGAUGAAAACAGGUGAUAUAAAGAGCAUCGUUGAUCAAAGGCUAAGAGGAAACUUCGACUUGAGUUCUGCCUGGAAGGCUGUGGAGAUUGCCAUGACAUGUUUGUCACUGGAUUCUACAGAGAGACCAGGCAUGAAGGAGGUGGUAAGGGAGUUGAGUGAGUGUUUGACGUUAGAGAGAGCUCGGAAAAGAAGGAACGUCGAUUUUGAUACUGGAAAAUCAAAUACAGUUACUAGAAAUUUCAGAGAGAGCGAAGUAACACCUCGUGCUAGGUAGCUUCUACUGCUAUAUAUGUUCAAAACAUUCUAUUGCAAACAAUCAAGAGCGAGCCCGGUCGAGUCGGGUUGGCAGAACCUCAAUAUGUUAUGUCGAGAGGGUAGAAGAAACAACAAUGUCAAUGCUUUUGAUUUGGCUUUGAAAUAAAAGCAUCCACCCGGGAAGAGAUGAAAGUUCAACUUGGCUAUGGAAUCAAGGGCAUUGCGUAAGGCUGAACGAAGCUGGUUAUGCAGUGCUUCACUGGAUAAUGCUACUUGCCUUUUUGACCAGGAUUCGUUAGCAUUGACUGUGGAAAUUCAAAGGAUUCAAGCUACACAGACAGUGUAACAGGCAUAAAGUACAUUUCUGAUGCAAACUUCAC
This is an RNA transcript of Cucurbita pepo subsp. pepo (vegetable marrow), 3508 nucleotides long. It is a transcript of the gene named putative leucine-rich repeat receptor-like protein kinase At2g19210, with no coding region annotated. The record is from RefSeq and is a predicted model, not a curated record. NCBI's taxonomy places the organism in Eukaryota, Viridiplantae, Streptophyta, Magnoliopsida, Cucurbitales, Cucurbitaceae.